RNAcentral lists this long non-coding RNA (3031 nucleotides) under Homo sapiens (human). RNAcentral's name for it is "non-protein coding lnc-TFEC-2:18". Lineage: Eukaryota; Metazoa; Chordata; Mammalia; Primates; Hominidae. The record is from RNAcentral.
AAAUGAGAGCAUGAACGUAGAUUGCAGCACAGCGCCCAUCAUGCGGGAUGCUUUCAAUAACUGAUGUAAAAGAGCUAAUGACACCUGUUGUAAUGAGCUCUCUGCAGGAGUGUCCUAUGAAUCUGACGGAUGUGAAUUCUGGGGGUAACUAUGGAGUUCUAGUGACUACACAGAGACAAAGCACUUCUUGCUGCCACCAUGUGAAGAAGGAUGUGUUUGCUUCCUCUUUUGCCACAAUUGUAAGUUUCCUGAGGACUUCCCAGCCAUGCUGAACUCAGAAGAGGAAGUUGGAGGCAUGUGAGGUGCAGGAAGGAUUCUAAGCAGUGGUGCUGGCUUUGAAGAUGGAAGGCAUUGUACCUCAAUGAAUGUGACUGGUUUCUAGAAGCUGAGAGUAGCCAGCCCCCAGCUGACAGCCAACAAGGAAACAGGGACCUUGGUUCUCCAACCACAGAAAAUAGAUUCUACCAACAAGAAUGAGCUUGAAAGCAGAUUCUUCCCUCGCACUUAAAGAUUCAUUCUCCAUGCCUCAGUACUCUGUGCUAUUUCCCAGAAGGCUGAUCCUUAAGGACUACACCUGUGGGAUCCCUUGUCACUGGCAAUGGGACAAUGGGAGGUGCCAGCAGAAAAUCAGAGUGAUGAAGAAUGAGGUCUGGGUAUUUAUCUCCUGGCUUUCUGUAAGUAUACAAGGUGAUAAAAAGGAAAAUGAUUCCUAACAACUUGGGGGUAUGUGGAAGCAGGGGAAGGGGGUGCUGUGGGCUGAACUGUGUUUCCUCAAAGUCAUAUGCUGAAGCUCAAACUCCUAAUGUGACUGUAUUUGGAGCAGGGGCUUUUAAGAAGUAAAGUUAAAAGAUGUCACAAGGUGAACGUCACAAUCCAUUGGAAUAGGUGACCUUAUAAGAAAAGGGAGAGAGAUCUCUUCCUCUCCAGACACACACACACACACCCACACACACCAAGGAAAGGCCAUGUGAGCACGUGGUGAGAAGGCAGCCGUCUGUAAGCCAGGAAGAGAGACCUCACCAGAACUCAACCAUGUUGGCACCUGAUCUCGAACUUUCCAGCCUCUAGAACUGGAAGAAAGUACAUUUCUGUUUAAACUACCAGGUAUGUGAUAUUUUGUUAUGGCAGCCUGAAAAGACAUACAUGGGCAGGGAAGACUUCUCAGAGGUAUUUCUUGAGCUGAGACUUUUUGUUUCCUAGUGGUGGGAGGUAGGGUUUUCCAGGCAGAGAACACCAUGCAAUAAGGCACAAAAUUUCAGGGAAUAGUAUGUAUCAAGCACUUGGAUCAUAGAGUGCUUGGAAGGGAAGUGGAAGAGGCUGGAAAAGCAAGCAGAGGCCAGAUGUUAGGGUUUAAUGUCAAAGGCCAAGAAAUUUGCCUAAAAGAAGUCCAGUGGGAAACUACUGAGGGUUCUUAAGUCAUCUGAAGUAUGUAAUAGUAUCCAUGUUCAAAAGACCAUUCUUGUGAUUGUGUGAGAGGCCAGACUAAUAAAGAGGUAGAGAAUAAUUUAACUCUGAUUUUUGAAAUGUGCCCGAUGGAGCCCUCAGGGUCCUAAGUCAAGGAUCACCAUGAAGCUGGAGGAGGAGGCUAAGUGGGCAGGGUCAUGGGAUCCCAUGUCUACUUCACCCACAUAAGUUCUGUGGCCCUAGACUAGACCUGGAAUCUUUGUUACACUCAGGACAACUAGUCUAGAAUAUUUUACUUCAAAGACUGUACUGAAAGAGGCUACAUAGGGAGGUCAAAGGCACCUGCUUCAGCUCUUUUAGCUAUGGUGAAAAAGUCAGGGAAUUAUCAAGAAUUCUGAGAGAAAUGUGACUGGACCCAUGCCAGGAAGAUGUCAGAACUACUAAGAAAUACCAAUGGGGUGGACUGUUAUCAACCCCAGCUGAAUGACAGGCCAUAUGCAAAGUCCUAGACUAUUAUGGCUCUUAGAUUUUCAGACUACACCCAGUUGAUUAAAUGAGUCUGUGUGAUAAAUUGAAAUGUAAAAGGUUAUUUUCAUGCCAUGGAGAUCUGCUCUUGUCGGAUAUAUUUUCAUCUGAAAAUAUCGAUUAAAAUGAUUAAUAUAGACAUAACAAAAAUGACUAACUUGCUUUAGAGAAAAGAUGAUAUCUCUUAGGAAUGAGCUUUAAAAUCUCACGAGCGGUUUUUGGCAACUGCAUAGCAGAACUAAAAAGAAUGCAGGUUAAGUAUCUCUUACCCAAAAUGUUUCACAAGUAAAAUAAAACAGAAGUGUAUCAGAUUUCAAAUUUUUUUUAAAUUUUGGAAUAUCUGCAUAAACAAUGAGAUAUCUUGGGGAUAGGGCCCAAGUUUAAACAUAAAAUUAAUUUCUGUUUCAUAUACAGCUUAUGUACAUAAGCUGAUGGUAAUUUUAUACAUAUUUUAAAUAAUUUUGUACAAGACACAAAGGUUUGAAUGCAUUUUUGAAUGCAACCUGUCACACGGUCAGGUAUGUGAAAUUUUCCACUUGUGGCAUCGUGUUGACACUCAAGAAGUUUUGGUUUUGGAGCAUUUUGGAUUUUGGAUUUUAUGUAUUAUAAGAUUGUAAGGUAAAAACUAUGCCCAGGAGAGGGCAGUGCAGCCUUCUGUAAAGUUAACUAAUAGGCCCAAUAGAAAAUAGUGUGAGCAUUAAGAGCAGAGAUGUUCUAAUUCAUGAAAACUAUUUUGUGUUAAGUCACUUUACCUUUUUAAAACAUGAGAGACAUACUGCCACUUCUAUGUCCCUUGAAGAGACAGCACAAGGGAGAGCUGCUUAAGUCUUGUAAAAAAAAAUUCUGGAAAACUUUAGCUCCCUAAAACUGAAGAAUUGUAUCAAAACUGAAGAACUGUAUCAGUUCUAGCAGGUUUCUACUGACUUUCCUAUUUUAAACAAUUAUCUUUGUUUCUGAAAACUGAUUCAAUAAACUAGUUUUUAAAAGAGAUUAAUGUCUAAAAUUUUAUUUGUUUAUAUUCUCCUUUAAUUUACACUGUACACAUCUCCAAGAGCUGAUGAAAGUAUUCUAAACGGUUUCCUGUGGAAAUCUGUAGUACAGA